This 228-nucleotide ribosomal RNA is filed under the name uncultured bacterium. Its description in RNAcentral is "partial 16S ribosomal RNA". It matches the Rfam family "Bacterial small subunit ribosomal RNA", at positions 103 to 334 of the family's 1533-position model. The record is from RNAcentral.
CGGGUGAGUAAUACAUCGGAACGUGUCUUCUAGUGGGGGAUAACUGCCCGAAAGGGUAGCUAAUACCGCAUGAGACCUGAGGGUGAAAGCGGGGGAUCGCAAGACCUCGCGCUGGAAGAGCGGCCGAUGUCCGAUUAGCUAGUUGGUGAGGUAAAGGCUCACCAAGGCGACGAUCGGUAGCUGGUCUGAGAGGACGACCAGCCACACUGGGACUGAGACACGGCCCAG